This 451-nucleotide ribosomal RNA is filed under the name uncultured bacterium. Its description in RNAcentral is "bacterial SSU rRNA". It matches the Rfam family "Bacterial small subunit ribosomal RNA", at positions 478 to 929 of the family's 1533-position model. The record is from RNAcentral.
ACUACCCAGAAAGGGACGGCUAACUACGUGCCAGCAGCCGCGGUAAUACGUAGGUCCCGAGCGUUGUCCGGAUUUAUUGGGCGUAAAGCGAGCGCAGGUGGUUUAUUAAGUCUGGUGUAAAAGGCAGUGGCUCAACCAUUGUAUGCAUUGGAAACUGGUAGACUUGAGUGCAGGAGAGGAGAGUGGAAUUCCAUGUGUAGCGGUGAAAUGCGUAGAUAUAUGGAGGAACACCGGUGGCGAAAGCGGCUCUCUGGCCUGUAACUGACACUGAGGCUCGAAAGCGUGGGGAGCAAACAGGAUUAGAUACCCUGGUAGUCCACGCCGUAAACGAUGAGUGCUAGAUGUAGGGAGCUAUAAGUUCUCUGUAUCGCAGCUAACGCAAUAAGCACUCCGCCUGGGGAGUACGACCGCAAGGUUGAAACUCAAAGGAAUUGACGGGGGCCCGCACAAG